AUCAGUAACGUUGGCUCUCAGUUCCUGAGCAGGGCGAUGGCAGUGUCAGUUCAAGCGAUCACAGUCUGUCUCACCCUAUCGCUCGGACAAUGGAUUCAAUGGGUUCGUGCUGCGCCGACUGUAGUCCAGUCUGCAACAGGGGCCACUAUUCCACAAGGACAGACUUUCACUUUGACCUGCAGUUUAGACGGAGAGAGCAUGGGCAGCUAUACUAUGCACUGGUACCGCCAACAGGGGACAACAAUAGAGUGGCUGUGCGAUGAAUAUAAAAGCUGUGCAUCGGGUUUAGACGACAGGUUCGAAGUGCAACACCUCUCUGCGAAUAACCGAUUUACCCUGAAGCUGAGCAGUACCCAGUUGGCAGACUCUGCGACCUACUACUGUGCAGCCAGUAUGGCACAGAAACACAACCCGCCCAUAAACUAA
Stegostoma tigrinum is the source of this 426-nucleotide non-coding RNA. NCBI's taxonomy places the organism in Eukaryota, Metazoa, Chordata, Chondrichthyes, Orectolobiformes, Stegostomatidae. The record is from the annotation of a RefSeq genome assembly.